RNAcentral lists this ribosomal RNA (400 nucleotides) under uncultured Oribacterium sp. Its description in RNAcentral is "bacterial SSU rRNA". It matches the Rfam family "Bacterial small subunit ribosomal RNA", at positions 354 to 771 of the family's 1533-position model. The record is from RNAcentral. Lineage: Bacteria; Bacillati; Bacillota; Clostridia; Lachnospirales; Lachnospiraceae.
GUGGGGAAUAUUGCACAAUGGGGGAAACCCUGAUGCAGCGACGCCGCGUGAGCGAAGAAGUAUUUCGGUAUGUAAAGCUCUAUCAGCAGGGAAGAAAAUGACGGUACCUGACUAAGAAGCCCCGGCUAACUACGUGCCAGCAGCCGCGGUAAUACGUAGGGGGCAAGCGUUAUCCGGAUUUACUGGGUGUAAAGGGAGCGUAGACGGCAAGGUAAGUCUGAAGUGAAAUGCCGGGGCUCAACCCCGGAACUGCUUUGGAAACUAUCUCGCUCGAGUACCGGAGGGGUAAGCGGAAUUCCUAGUGUAGCGGUGAAAUGCGUAGAUAUUAGGAGGAACACCAGUGGCGAAGGCGGCUUACUGGACGGUAACUGACGUUGAGGCUCGAAAGCGUGGGGAGCAA